This 243-nucleotide ribosomal RNA is filed under the name uncultured bacterium. RNAcentral describes it as "partial 16S ribosomal RNA". It matches the Rfam family "Bacterial small subunit ribosomal RNA", at positions 524 to 765 of the family's 1533-position model. The record is from RNAcentral.
UACGUAGGCAGCGAGCGUUGUUCGGAUUUACUGGGCGUAAAGCGCACGUAGGCGGAUCGUUAAGUCGGGGGUGAAAUCCUGGAGCUCAACUCCAGAACUGCCUUCGAUACUGGCGAUCUUGAGUCCGGAAGAGGUGAGUGGAACUCCUAGUGUAGAGGUGGAAUUCGUAGAUAUUAGGAAGAACACCAGUGGCGAAGGCGGACACUCUGGGACGGUACUGACGCUGAGACGCGAAAGCGUGGG